UCUGCAAACAUUCAGACAUACGGCGAAAUCCGCUUUAGAACCGACGCCAUUUUUCAAUUUAGAUCUGGGCAUCGCGUUUCGUAAUUUUCAUAUAAAUAUCGAACUAUUUUGUCGCGUCGUUGGUUAUGUUUUUACUAUAAAUUAUGUACAACAUGGAAGACACAAUGAUAAUAAUGCACUUUUUCCAGGAAAUGUAACCCUAACCUAGAUAAAUGUAUUCAGCAUGUGAAAUAACCUUAAGUGAGAUACGACAGAUCGUCCAAAACGAUUAUUAGAUAUUGAAGACGUAAGGAAAAGGACACAAACCUAACCUAAAGAUAAUUGAGAUGACGUAGUGGACGCUAAAACGAAUGUACAAUAGAGAAACACUGGAAUAAUAUCUUGCGGAUGAUCUCAGCAAUUACAACAAUCGGAAAAUAGCAAUACUUUUAUCCCAUGAAAUGUAACCCUAACCUAGAUAAAUGUAUUCAGCAUGUGAAAUAACCUUAAGUGAGAUACGACAGAUCGUCCAAAACGAUUAUUAGAUAUUGAAGACGUAAGGAAAAGGACACAAACCUAACCUAAAGAUAAUUGAGAUGACGUAGUGGACGCUAAAACGAAUGUGUAAUAGAGAAACACUGGAAUAAUAUCUUGCGGAUGAUCUCCGCAAUUACAACAAUCGGAAAAUAGCAAUACUUUUUACUCGUGUAAUGUUGGUCCGCACGCACGAUCCGUGGCUGCGUUCCAUUUUCAUCGUAAUGGAUGGACCCUUUUGGGUCGGUCCAGGCGAACGAGUCCGGUUAAAGGUUUUCUCCUUAAAGGUUUCUGGUCGUGGCCGUGUCUGGAUAUCACAACGGGGCUACCAUUGAAAAACUUCUAACGAGUAUAUAUUGUGAAGCCGUGCGAGCAGAAGUAAAGCAAGUCGCAAGCCGUUUUAUCGAUGAGAUCUUCGCAUAAAUGAUAAAAUGCGAACGAAAAUGCUCGCAAGAAUUUCUUCUCCCUUAUUUGAAACGCGGCCAAUAAUUAAUUAUUUACUCACAUUAUGCUAUUGGAAAUAUUCUAAUAGGAAUAGCGUGACAACUAAAAUUUUAAAAUAAAAUAUUUUAUCAUGUUUAAA
This is a long non-coding RNA of Bombus terrestris (buff-tailed bumblebee), 1096 nucleotides long. RefSeq lists it as uncharacterized. The record is from RefSeq and is a predicted model, not a curated record. NCBI's taxonomy places the organism in Eukaryota, Metazoa, Arthropoda, Insecta, Hymenoptera, Apidae. The transcript has 4 exons.